This 409-nucleotide ribosomal RNA is filed under the name Actinomycetes bacterium. RNAcentral describes it as "Actinobacteria bacterium partial 16S ribosomal RNA". It matches the Rfam family "Bacterial small subunit ribosomal RNA", at positions 355 to 776 of the family's 1533-position model. The record is from RNAcentral. Lineage: Bacteria; Bacillati; Actinomycetota; Actinomycetes.
UGGGGAAUAUUGCACAAUGGGCGGAAGCCUGAUGCAGCGACGCCGCGUGGGGGAUGAAGGCCUUCGGGUUGUAAACUCCUUUCGACAGGGACGAAGCUUUUGUGACGGUACCUGUAUAAGAAGCACCGGCUAACUACGUGCCAGCAGCCGCGGUAAUACGUAGGGUGCGAGCGUUGUCCGGAAUUACUGGGCGUAAAGAGCUCGUAGGUGGUUUGUCGCGUCGUCUGUGAAAUUCCGGGGCUUAACUCCGGGCGUGCAGGCGAUACGGGCUGGCUUGAGUGCUGUAGGGGAGACUGGAAUUCCUGGUGUAGCAGUGAAAUGCGCAGAUAUCAGGAGGAACACCGAUGGCGAAGGCAGGUCUCUGGGCAGUAACUGACGCUGAGGAGCGAAAGCAUGGGUAGCGAACAGG